GCGGAUGAGCUCAGCUUGUUAGAGCAUGGUGCUGAUGACGCCAAGGUUGCAGGUUCGAUCCCCGUAAUAGGGCAGCUGCA
Podarcis lilfordi (Lilford's wall lizard) is the source of this 80-nucleotide non-coding RNA. Lineage: Eukaryota; Metazoa; Chordata; Lepidosauria; Squamata; Lacertidae. The record is from the annotation of a GenBank genome assembly.